AUGUUUCAACAGAGACAGUUCCUCCCUCUAAUGGGCCCAGAGGAGUGCGGCUUUCAAAGGAUUCAACAUGGAAGUGACAGGCUGGAAACUCUUAUUAAUGGUCUGUGCGCCAGCGAGGAACCGCAAGCAGCAUGUGCCAACAGCCCAGAGGCCACGGCCAGGCAGAGCCAGCCCUCCCCAGCCACCAGCAUCCAGCCACAGCCCAUAGGCUGGGGUCUGCCUCAGAGGGAGAAAGACCCAAGAAGGAAAGACUCAGGACCUAGGCAAACAUAAGGAAGGAGCCUCUGCCCUACAGCACCUACAGUGAAAUAAUCUCCACACUUAAACAAUGAGCUGCUGCACAGACAGGUGUUGAAUGAGGCUUCAUUGAAAUUUAAACCACAGACAGUACACAGAUAAAUGGCCAAGGAUGGGGACACCCAGUCCCCGGAGGGGGGAAAAUGAAAUUUUCCAUUAGACCUCACCUCAAGUGAGAGAAACUGGUUCUUCCUCUCCAUCUCAGGGUCCUAAGGAUGGUCACAAAAAUCUUCAGCAGAGGACUGUCUCAAUGUAAGAAAAGCAUAAUUAUGGGCUUAGCAGAAAGAGGCCUCAUCAGUGGUUUUCAGUUCACCUCAAUUAACUCUUCCUUGUUAUCCAUCCACCAAUGACCUGUACCCUUCCUCUCUCUCACCACAGAUAACGAAUCUCUCUCUUGGCUUAGCAUCCAUCCAUUGCUCCUGAAGUUCUAAUUACAUUUUACUCAUAACUUGUUUAAUCAACUACCAUAAUUAAAUUAAGCAGUGCCUUUUUACCUAUAUGCAGCUUGUAGUUUGGGUUGUAGGUUGAUGCAUUUGCGGAGACCCAAGCAUCCCAGUCUGUCUUGUACAGGCUACCACCUCUCUGCAAACCCUGCCUCUCAGCCACAGUGUUGUUCCUCUGAAAGAAAUGGGUUUUCAUUUCCUUUCUUCUCUUAUUAUUAAUGUUCACAGUUUCAUGCCAAGCUAGAGGAAAAUUAUUUCCUCUUUAAAAGUAGCCCUACAUGGAGAAAAAUAAUUCCAUUUUUAAUAAACAAAAGUGAUCUUAGGUACAGAAGUGCAUAAUUUUCUUUUGCUUUUUCCGUUCAUCAUCAACAAGGGAGUAGCCCUGUUCAGACUUGAUGCCAGCUCUGUAUACUAAUAAAAAUGGACAAAGUGUUGUAGAUUAGGAGACUAAAAAUGUCUGUUACAGAGUGCUUCACAUUCCUGCUGGAUAAAGGAAAGCAGACUUAGAAAUUUGAGUGAUUAUAUGAGAAACAAUAGUCUUUUGCUUGCGACCUCAGUAGAGCAAUGAAGGUGGCAAGUGUGCUUUGAAGCUGCUGGCAUUGUCAAAAAACAGGAAACCCUGAAGUUCCUGUUGCAGUUUCCCCCAGGAAGGGAGGUUUCCCUCAGCCCAGAGUGGGCUAAGCCAGGGGACCACCAAAGGUAUGGGAAACACUUUGCUCACUCAGAAACUGGGGAAAGUUUGCUAGUGUAGUCCAUGGAUGUGACAAGAUAUCCUAAGGGAGUUCACCUGGGCGACUCUGGAGGUUGAACACCCAAGGUGAGUCAUGGGUCAUUUUCUACAAUUCAGAGACAAAGUUUACUUCUUCUUCAGUGCCAAGAAUAUAACUCUGGAAAUCAUGCAAGACAAAUUUUGUGUGGCUUGUUAUAAAGUCUCAGGUGGAGAUUUACAUUAGUCUGAGCUUCAGCUGACACACAUGCCCUGGGCCAACUGUUCAGCUCCUGCCCUCCCCCUUUGCUGUGCAGCAAAUAAAAGAGUGCAAGACAGCCUUGCUACCUCAAGACAACCAUUUACUUGGAGAGAGGUCCUUGAGUGUCCUUUUAGAGGUGUUUUGCUCCACAAAAGCAAAGCCAAUCUGCCAGGACUGAUCCCUGCAAUCUAGUGAUGUGGCUAAUUGAAACCACUUGAUUUUGAAUGCUUAAUAUAUGUUUGUACACAAGAUGUAGUCCACGCCUUUUUUGGAGAAGCCACAAGGCAACUGAUGAUUACAUACAAGAAUACAGACGUCUAAUUGUGUCAUUUGUAAAUUGGCACUUUGUCCAGAACCCAUGUGAGGUGGUGAGGUCUGAUCUGUUUCCCAGGCAGCUCCUUGGAACCUCAUCAGGAAUUUUCUGGGCCCUUGCUAAGCC
This is a long non-coding RNA of Catharus ustulatus (Swainson's thrush), 2147 nucleotides long. The record is from Ensembl. NCBI's taxonomy places the organism in Eukaryota, Metazoa, Chordata, Aves, Passeriformes, Turdidae.